Molecule: ribosomal RNA, 3096 nt
Filed under: Acinetobacter baumannii
Lineage: Bacteria; Pseudomonadati; Pseudomonadota; Gammaproteobacteria; Moraxellales; Moraxellaceae
Description: partial 23S ribosomal RNA
Rfam family: Bacterial large subunit ribosomal RNA
Source: RNAcentral
UUGGCAGUCAGAGGCGAUGAAAGACGUGAUAGCCUGCGAAAAGCUCCGGGGAGGCGGCAAAUAUCCUUUGAUCCGGAGAUGUCUGAAUGGGGGAACCCACCUACUUUAAGGUAGGUAUUGCAACAUGAAUACAUAGUGUUGCAAGGCGAACGAGGGGAAGUGAAACAUCUCAGUACCCUUAGGAAAAGAAAUCAAUUGAGAUUCCCUCAGUAGCGGCGAGCGAACGGGGAUCAGCCCAUUAAGUUAUGUGUGUUUUAGUGGAACGCUCUGGGAAGUGCGAACGUAGAGGGUGAUAUUCCCGUACACGAAAGGGCACACAUAAUGAUGACGAGUAGGGCGAGGCACGUGAAACCUUGUCUGAAUAUGGGGGGACCAUCCUCCAAGGCUAAAUACUCCUGACUGACCGAUAGUGAACCAGUACCGUGAGGGAAAGGCGAAAAGAACCCCUGUGAGGGGAGUGAAAUAGAUCCUGAAACCGCAUGCAUACAAGCAGUGGGAGCACCUUCGUGGUGUGACUGCGUACCUUUUGUAUAAUGGGUCAGCGACUUAUAUUCAGUAGCAAGGUUAACCGUAUAGGGGAGCCGUAGAGAAAUCGAGUCUUAAUAGGGCGUUUAGUUGCUGGGUAUAGACCCGAAACCAGGCGAUCUAUCCAUGAGCAGGUUGAAGGUUGGGUAACACUAACUGGAGGACCGAACCCACUGUCGUUGAAAAGCCAGGGGAUGACUUGUGGAUAGGGGUGAAAGGCUAAUCAAGCCUGGUGAUAGCUGGUUCUCCCCGAAAGCUAUUUAGGUAGCGCCUCGGACGAAUACCAUAGGGGGUAGAGCACUGUUUCGGCUAGGGGGUCAUCCCGACUUACCAAACCGAUGCAAACUCCGAAUACCUAUGAGUACUAUCCGGGAGACAGACUGCGGGUGCUAACGUCCGUAGUCAAGAGGAAAACAAUCCAGACCGCCAGCUAAGGCCCCAAAAUCAUAGUUAAGUGGGAAACGAUGUGGGAAGGCAUAGACAGCUAGGAGGUUGGCUUANNNNNNNNNNNNNNNNNNNNNNNNNNNNNNNNNNNNNNNNNNNNNNNNNNNNNNNNGAAGCAGCCACCCUUUAAAGAAAGCGUAAUAGCUCACUAGUCGAGUCGGCCUGCGCGGAAGAUGUAACGGGGCUAAAACUAUGUGCCGAAGCUGCGGAUGUAUACUUUGUAUACGUGGUAGGGGAGCGUUCUGUAAGCCGAUGAAGGUGUGUUGAGAAGCNGAAGCAGCCACCCUUUAAAGAAAGCGUAAUAGCUCACUAGUCGAGUCGGCCUGCGCGGAAGAUGUAACGGGGCUAAAACUAUGUGCCGAAGCUGCGGAUUUGACAUUAGUCAAGUGGUAGGGGAGCGUUCUGUAAGCCGAUGAAGGUGUAUUGAGAAGUNAUGCUGGAGGUAUCAGAAGUGCGAAUGCUGACGUGAGUAACGACAAAACGGGUGAAAAACCCGUUCGCCGAAAGACCAAGGGUUCCAGUCCAACGUUAAUCGGGGCUGGGUGAGUCGACCCCUAAGGCGAGGCCGAAAGGCGUAGUCGAUGGGAAAAUGGUUAAUAUUCCAUUACUUCUGUGUAAUGCGAUGAGAGGACGGAGAAGGCUAAAUCAGCCUGGCGUUGGUUGUCCAGGUGAAAGGAUGUAGGCAUGUAUCUUAGGCAAAUCCGGGGUACUCUAUGCUGAGAUCUGAUAGCAAGCUGUACUUGUACAGCGAAGUGGUUGAUGCCAUGCUUCCAGGAAAAGUCUCUAAGCUUCAGUUACACAGGAAUCGUACCCGAAACCGACACAGGUGGUCAGGUCGAGUAGACCAAGGCGCUUGAGAGAACUCUGCUGAAGGAACUAGGCAAAAUGGUACCGUAACUUCGGGAGAAGGUACGCUGUUGUUGGUGAUGGAACUCGCUUCCUGAGCUGACGACAGCCGCAGAAACCAGGCCGCUGCAACUGUUUAUUAAAAACAUAGCACUCUGCAAACACGAAAGUGGACGUAUAGGGUGUGAUGCCUGCCCGGUGCUGGAAGGUUAAUUGAUGGGGUUAGCGUAAGCGAAGCUCUUGAUCGAAGCCCCAGUAAACGGCGGCCGUAACUAUAACGGUCCUAAGGUAGCGAAAUUCCUUGUCGGGUAAGUUCCGACCUGCACGAAUGGCAUAAUGAUGGCGGCGCUGUCUCCAGCAGAGGCUCAGUGAAAUCGAAAUCGCUGUGAAGAUGCAGUGUACCCGCGGCUAGACGGAAAGACCCCGUGAACCUUUACUGCAGCUUGACACUGAACUUUGACCUUACUUGUGUAGGAUAGGUGGGAGGCUUUGAAGCUGGAACGCUAGUUCCAGUGGAGCCGUCCUUGAAAUACCACCCUGGUAAUGUUGAGGUUCUAACUCUGUCCCGUGAUCCGGGACGAGGACCGUGUCUGGUGGGUAGUUUGACUGGGGCGGUCUCCUCCUAAAGAGUAACGGAGGAGUACGAAGGUGCGCUCAGCGUGGUCGGAAAUCACGCGUAGAGUAUAAAGGCAAAAGCGCGCUUAACUGCGAGACCCACAAGUCGAGCAGGUACGAAAGUAGGUCUUAGUGAUCCGGUGGUUCUGUAUGGAAGGGCCAUCGCUCAACGGAUAAAAGGUACUCUGGGGAUAACAGGCUGAUACCGCCCAAGAGUUCAUAUCGACGGCGGUGUUUGGCACCUCGAUGUCGGCUCAUCUCAUCCUGGGGCUGAAGCAGGUCCCAAGGGUAUGGCUGUUCGCCAUUUAAAGAGGUACGCGAGCUGGGUUUAGAACGUCGUGAGACAGUUCGGUCCCUAUCUACCGUGGGCGCUGGAAAUUUGAGAGGAUCUGCUCCUAGUACGAGAGGACCAGAGUGGACGAACCUCUGGUGUACCGGUUGUGACGCCAGUCGCAUCGCCGGGUAGCUAUGUUCGGAAGGGAUAACCGCUGAAAGCAUCUAAGCGGGAAGCCUACCUCAAGAUAAGAUUUCCCUAGGACUUUAUGUCCUCUAAAGAGCCGUUCGAGACUAGGACGUUGAUAGGUUGGAUGUGGAAGCAUAGUGAUAUGUGAAGCUGACCAAUACUAAUUGCUCGUGAGGCUUGACUAUACAACACCCAAGCAGUUG